GACGAACGCUGGCGGCGUGCCUAAUACAUGCAAGUCGAACGCAUUUUCUUUCACCGUAGCUUGCUACACCGAAAGAAAAUGAGUGGCGAACGGGUGAGUAACACGUGGGUAACCUGCCCAUCAGCGGGGGAUAACACUUGGAAACAGGUGCUAAUACCGCAUAAUUCCAUUUACCGCAUGGUAGAUGGGUGAAAGGCGCCUUUGCGUCACUGAUGGAUGGACCCGCGGUGCAUUAGCUAGUUGGUGGGGUAACGGCCUACCAAGGCUGCGAUGCAUAGCCGACCUGAGAGGGUGAUCGGCCACACUGGGACUGAGACACGGCCCAGACCCCUACGGGAGGCAGCAGUAGGGAAUCUUCGGCAAUGGACGCAAGUCUGACCGAGCAACGCCGCGUGAGUGAAGAAGGUUUUCGGAUCGUAAAACUCUGUUGUUAGAGAAGAACAAGGAUGAGAGUGGAAAGUUCAUCCCUUGACGGUAGCUAACCAGAAAGCCACGGCUAACUACGUG
RNAcentral lists this ribosomal RNA (507 nucleotides) under uncultured bacterium. RNAcentral's name for it is "partial 16S ribosomal RNA". It matches the Rfam family "Bacterial small subunit ribosomal RNA", at positions 28 to 507 of the family's 1533-position model. The record is from RNAcentral.